UAACUGCGCGUCAUAGUGUGAACUGCAGGACACAUUUGAACAUCGACAUUUCGAACGCACAUUGCGGUCCGUGGAGAAACAUCCAGGACCACUCCUGUCUGAGGGCCGGCUGUAUAAAAACAUAUACCACACUGUUCGCUCGUUAUGCGAGCGUACAAUUGACGGUUCCGCGUUAAAAGUCUUUCGCCCGCAAAACGGUGUGUAAAGAUAUAAGACGAAGGUCCGUUUAAAAAUUUCAAUAAACGAAAAAAAGAUCGAACGAAAAUACGCAUCGUUCGAGCGCGCACGAGCCGCCGCAUCGCCGUGCGACCCUUCGGUGUGCGUUCCAUAUUGCAAUACAAUUUAUAUAUGAAUUGUAUCGUGAGUAUUGAGAGCGCGCUAAGAGGGCGAGCACAGUCAUGGUGAUUGUGUGUGUGCGUCGUCGUGUGCGCUUUUGGACGCGUACGCUUCGUGAGAUCUUAAAAAUUCAAGUAGGCGGACUCGACGUCCGAAGUGCGUUUCGACGCCGUCGUCGCAUAUAUUAAUCGCGUCCGUUUGUGAUUUUGUGAUCGCGUCGGUGUUGCGAUUGUGUGCGAUUGUACGGCGUCGUAUCGCUGACGGAUAUCGCGUCUGCCUCGAUUUUUUAUCGUUGGCCUCAGAUCAGGGAGGAUCACCCGCCGAAUUUAA
Molecule: ribosomal RNA, 666 nt
Filed under: Ernsta dromus
Lineage: Eukaryota; Metazoa; Arthropoda; Insecta; Lepidoptera; Hesperiidae
Description: eukaryotic LSU rRNA
Rfam family: 5.8S ribosomal RNA (bases 1-108)
Source: RNAcentral